UUGAAAUCCUUAGGAUGUUGCUGGCCUUUCGGGGCAUGUGCACUCCGCCUUUUCAUAUCACCUGUGAACUCAUUGUAGGCCAGAUGUUACAGUCUGUGUCUAUGUUAUUUUUACACACACAAGUCUAUUAGAAUGUCUAAUAAAGACCUUUAUUGGUCAAAAUUAAUA
This 168-nucleotide unclassified non-coding RNA is filed under the name uncultured Clavariaceae. RNAcentral describes it as "sequence contains ITS1". Lineage: Eukaryota; Fungi; Basidiomycota; Agaricomycetes; Agaricales; Clavariaceae. The record is from RNAcentral.